Long non-coding RNA from Lathyrus oleraceus (garden pea), 540 nucleotides. RefSeq lists it as uncharacterized. Lineage: Eukaryota; Viridiplantae; Streptophyta; Magnoliopsida; Fabales; Fabaceae. The transcript is spliced from 3 exons. The record is from RefSeq and is a predicted model, not a curated record.
AAAAUCCAUCUAGUUUCAAAUUUGAACUUCCAAUUUCAAAUAUGAGCUUAUUUUCACAAUUUCACUUCUAAUGUGGCUUGCUUCGUCUUCACCCUCAAGACAUUUUUCUUCUCCAUUCCAUCAAGUUUUCAGCUUCAUGGCUUAGCUCAAAUUUAUGAGGAACCCUAUUCCCAAAUUCAACUACAAAUUUGCUUUACUGUACUUAUGGCUUCUUAAUUUUGUGUUAUUUGUGCUAUGCGAGAGCUUUUGUCAAUGAAGAUUCAGAGACACAAGCUUAUCAGAAAUGAUAUACUCUUUGUUUUCUAUUAUUGAUCCGUUUCUUCUAUUAAUUCCAUCACAUUCAUUGAAAUUGUCACAUUGAAUGUCUUCAUCUUAACAUGUGUGAUUGAUUCUACUGAUUAACAAUGCAUUAAGUACGCAUAGCUUCAUUCAUUGUAAUGCUUUAUAAGAUUUUACAGAUGAUGAAAUCAUCAUUUUCCUGUUCUGCAUUGCUCAAUGGUUUGGAUUGAAGUAUUAUAAUUUAUGUCAUCACUCCUAAUU